AAGGGUAUAGCUCAGUGGUAGAGCACAUGCUUAGCAUGCACAAGGUCCUGAGUUCAAUCCCCAGUGCCUCCA
This 72-nucleotide transfer RNA is filed under the name Camelus bactrianus (Bactrian camel). It matches the Rfam family "tRNA". From Rfam's summary of the family: Transfer RNA (tRNA) molecules are approximately 80 nucleotides in length. Their secondary structure includes four short double-helical elements and three loops (D, anti-codon, and T loops). The record is from Rfam by way of RNAcentral. RNAcentral also lists the same sequence under 2 other names. Lineage: Eukaryota; Metazoa; Chordata; Mammalia; Artiodactyla; Camelidae.